CCAAUGUCAAUUGGAUAGCUGUCGACUGGGAAGCAGUCUGGGCCGAGAAGCAAGGCCUCUCUGUGAAGCUUCUGGGUCAGCCUCUGGCUGACCAAAGAAACUGUGAGACAGCCAAUUCCCUUUCCAAUGAAGGGACCUGACAAUUACAAAUGUCUGGCUUGUUCAGAAACAUACUGACACCUAGUCACCCAGGGCUCUGUCCAGGGCCCCAGGAACACUGAGAAGGAGCGAAAUUUGGACAGUGGGAAGGUCUGCGCCAUCAGUGCUG
This 268-nucleotide long non-coding RNA is filed under the name Homo sapiens (human). Its description in RNAcentral is "non-protein coding lnc-MRTO4-3:1". Lineage: Eukaryota; Metazoa; Chordata; Mammalia; Primates; Hominidae. The record is from RNAcentral.